ACAGCAGUAGCCACGGGAAUACAGAGGGUGCGAGCGUUAAUCGGAUUUACUGGGCGUAAAGCGUGCGUAGGCGGCUUCUUAAGUCGGAUGUGAAAUCCCUGAGCUUAACUUAGGAAUUGCAUUCGAUACUGGGAAGCUAGAGUAUGGGAGAGGAUGGUAGAAUUCCAGGUGUAGCGGUGAAAUGCGUAGAGAUCUGGAGGAAUACCGAUGGCGAAGGCAGCCAUCUGGCCUAAUACUGACGCUGAGGUACGAAAGCAUGGGGAGCAAACAGGAUUAGAGACCCCUGUAGUCCCUGUCUCUUAUAU
This 305-nucleotide ribosomal RNA is filed under the name uncultured bacterium. Its description in RNAcentral is "partial 16S ribosomal RNA". It matches the Rfam family "Bacterial small subunit ribosomal RNA", at positions 505 to 809 of the family's 1533-position model. The record is from RNAcentral.